RNAcentral lists this small RNA (989 nucleotides) under Oryza sativa Japonica Group (Japanese rice). Its description in RNAcentral is "sRNA Os09g0546950". The record is from RNAcentral. Lineage: Eukaryota; Viridiplantae; Streptophyta; Magnoliopsida; Poales; Poaceae.
UUCAACAUGUGUGAAAAUCUUUCAAAAUUCAUCAAUGGAUAAUUCAGCUAGCAAACUACUCAAAUCAUAUCUGUUGCACCUAACAGGGAAAAGGAUGUUGAUGAGAAUAACCACAGAAACCAACAUUUUUCAGAAAAAGGAAAUUGCUGUACCAGUCUGCUAGGAAAAAUUUGUAUCUUUGUCUCAUAAUCUGUAAUCCUGAUAAUUUACAUAGGAUUGAACAAAAACCAUAUAAACUAGCUGCAAACAGCAAAUUGCUGAUUGAGUCUCAUUGGUGGAACCACACUAGUAUUAAGACAUGGCCUAACUAUGGAGCUCAGGAGCGCCUUCUCAAUCUCUUCAGAGGCAUCUCUCCUAAUCAAACACAUCACGUACUCCAUCACUGAGGCAUCACAAGGCAAUGUGAUCUUGUUGUUGCUUGCAAAGCCAAACUCCUCUUGAGACACCCUUAAGAGCUCACAGAAGAUCGCCGUGUUGAGGUACAUCAGUGGAACCUCGAAGCGUGCCCCAUCAGUGGUGUACAACACACAAUGGCCCUUGUCUGCGACAUACGCUGUGGCUGUGCUGCAGCAUCCAUCGAUGCUUGCAGUCUGCCGCCCACUGGAUGCCACCAUCCUCUGCCACUUCUUGCCCAAUUGAGCAAGCUUCCUUGAACUGAUCAUGGUUCUUCUGUGUUCUUGGCUAAAUGAACUUUUGCUCUGAAGGAAUGAAGUAGAGACGCUUAGAUUGCUAUACUGUUUGCAGAUGAAGUGGUUGUGUUGAGAAGGCAAUGGAUUUAUAGGUGAAGGAAGAGAGGACAGUGCAUGGGCAGCCAAAGUGGUAGGCAGGACCAGAGGAGACAUAGCCACGAAUGUUGCCGCGCAACUGUUCCAGUUGGAGACGGUGUGAUAUUGAGAUUUAAAUGGGACUGGAUGUUCACUGAGCGACGGAGCCACUGCAACUGAUUCGAUGAUUGGUGAUGUACUGUAGUACUGACUUGUACACUAGGU